RNAcentral lists this ribosomal RNA (253 nucleotides) under uncultured bacterium. RNAcentral's name for it is "partial 16S ribosomal RNA". It matches the Rfam family "Bacterial small subunit ribosomal RNA", at positions 524 to 776 of the family's 1533-position model. The record is from RNAcentral.
UACGUAGGGUGCGAGCGUUAAUCGGAAUUACUGGGCGUAAAGCGUGCGCAGGCGGUUCGCAAAGUCUGAUGUGAAAGCCCCGGGCUCAACCUGGGAACUGCAUUGGAAACUAACGGGCUCGAGUGUGGCAGAGGGGGGUGGAAUUCCACGUGUAGCAGUGAAAUGCGUAGAGAUGUGGAGGAACACCAAUGGCGAAGGCAGCCCCCUGGGCUAACACUGACGCUCAGGCACGAAAGCGUGGGGAGCAAACAGG